UUGUAAAAAAAGCCCACCGCAAUGCCAUAAAACGUCACACUUUUUCACUAACAAAAUUAGCCCUUCCACCCGCGCCCCCGAGAUACUACUAGCUCAAUCGACGUAUUCACUUUCCUCAAACCCAUUCGGUCCCCAAAUACUUUCCGAGUACGAACGAAGCUUUCGAAACGGAAAACAGCCCAAAAAGAAUUAUCCUAUAUAGCACUAUUGGAUCCCACUGAUAUUACGAGUGUACAGUGCUUGAGAGUAUUAUUAUUAAAUGCAACGGAAAAAUUCGAUUUUCUGGACCACCGAGUACUUUGACGCUGGGUACUUCUAAAGUCAAAGUAUCGUUAAUAAUGCUACGGCCAGAAAACAUUGUACGGCGCCAAUAGACAAUGAGGCGUAUGAGAAUUCGGUUUUGUGUAUAAAAACGAGGUUCGUUCGAUUUCAGAAAUUUUUCAAAAAUCUAUGAAAAAUAAGCGGGCACUCAAUAAGUCUAUAUAAUUUUUUUUUUUUUUUCGCUUUUAUCAUAAAACCUAUUCUCGUAUCCUCUGACUCCCAUUAAUCUUUCUAUGAUUUUACGAGAGUAUAUGCAAGCACACGAUUGUCACACUGAUUGAUAAUUUAAAAUAUCAGAUACACAUCAUGGUCAAAGUACAGUCAAGACAAUGUUAUUAUAAUCAUUAUUACCACACACACAAAAAAACAAAGAUGGCGUCGAUCGGGCGAAACCAUUAUAUAAAAUGUUAUAAUCGAAUGUAUUUUUUUUGCGAGUGCAUGUGUUUGUGUUUUUUUUUUUCAUAUACAUAUAUAUGAAAUACUUUUUGACAAUAAUUGGCAAUCGAGAUAAAUAAAUGUUCUGGACCCUUUCUUCCGGCAUGCUGUCAACCGGAACUGAUAAUUCAAGGCAAUGCAAAAAGGUGAAAGUAAAAAGAAAGUACGAUUGAACGUAAUAUAAAAGAAGAGUACAGAACAAGUAGAAAAUCGAAUGUAUAGACAUUUACAGGCUGUACAAGUACGACAGGAGUAGCGUUAUAUUGGAAUAAUAAUAAUAGUAGGUGGUAUAGAGUACACAGUGUAUGAAACCGGAAUUGAAAGUGGUAGUAUAUGUGCUUGUGCAUGGAGACAGCCAAAAUCAAAAGCAAAGCAACGAAGCAAAUCAACAAGACAGCAAAAAUGGAUCGACGAAAAUAUUUGUUCAGACAAUUUGGAGUUUGGUGAAAGAUGAUAGAGCAAUACUGAGAUAGGAUGUGAGGGAAUGGCUUAAAAGAUAAAGAGAGAGGAGAGAGAGAGAGAGAGAGAGAAGCGUGAAGAGACGAAGUGAACGAGUAAAAAGUAGAGAGCAAGCAAAUACAGUAUG
This is an RNA transcript of Cephus cinctus (wheat stem sawfly), 1342 nucleotides long. RefSeq lists it as uncharacterized. Lineage: Eukaryota; Metazoa; Arthropoda; Insecta; Hymenoptera; Cephidae. The transcript has 2 exons. The record is from RefSeq and is a predicted model, not a curated record.